Molecule: ribosomal RNA, 1343 nt
Filed under: uncultured bacterium
Lineage: Bacteria
Description: 16S ribosomal RNA
Rfam family: Bacterial small subunit ribosomal RNA
Source: RNAcentral
GACGAACGCUGUCGGCGUGCUUAACACAUGCAAGUCGAACGGAAAGGCCCUGCUUUUGUGGGGUGCUCGAGUGGCGAACGGGUGAGUAACACGUGAGUAACCUGCCCUUGACUUUGUGAUAACUUCAGGAAACUGGGGCUAAUACCGGAUAGGAGCUCCUGCUGCAUGGUGGGGGUUGGAAAGUUUCGGCGGUUGGGGAUGGACUCGCGGCUUAUCAGCUUGUUGGUGGGGUAGUGGCUUACCAAGGCUUUGACGGGUAGCCGGCCUGAGAGGGUGACCGGCCACAUUGGGACUGAGAUACGGCCCAGACUCCUACGGGAGGCAGCAGUGGGGAAUAUUGCACAAUGGGCGGAAGCCUGAUGCAGCAACGCCGCGUGCGGGAUGACGGCCUUCGGGUUGUAAACCGCUUUCGCCUGUGACGAAGCGUGAGUGACGGUAAUGGGUAAAGAAGCACCGGCUAACUACGUGCCAGCAGCCGCGGUGAUACGUAGGGUGCGAGCGUUGUCCGGAUUUAUUGGGCGUAAAGGGCUCGUAGGUGGUUGAUCGCGUCGGAAGUGUAAUCUUGGGGCUUAACCCUGAGCGUGCUUUCGAUACGGGUUGACUUGAGGAAGGUAGGGGAGAAUGGAAUUCCUGGUGGAGCGGUGGAAUGCGCAGAUAUCAGGAGGAACACCAGUGGCGAAGGCGGUUCUCUGGGCCUUUCCUGACGCUGAGGAGCGAAAGCGUGGGGAGCGAACAGGCUUAGAUACCCUGGUAGUCCACGCUGUAAACGGUGGGUACUAGGUGUGGGGUCCAUUCCACGGGUUCCGUGCCGUAGCUAACGCUUUAAGUACCCCGCCUGGGGAGUACGGCCGCAAGGCUAAAACUCAAAGGAAUUGACGGGGCCCCGCACAAGCGGCGGAGCAUGCGGAUUAAUUCGAUGCAACGCGUAGAACCUUACCUGGGUUUGACAUGGAUCGGGAGUGCUCAGAGAUGGGUGUGCCUCUUUUGGGGUCGGUUCACAGGUGGUGCAUGCCUGUCGUCAGCUCAUGUCGUGAGAUGUUGGGUUAAGUCCCGCAACGAGCGCAACCCUUGUUCACUGUUGCCAGCACGUUAUGGUGGGGACUCAGUGGAGACCGCCGGGGUCAACUCGGAGGAAGGUGGGGAUGACGUCAAGUCAUCAUGCCCCUUAUGUCCAGGGCUUCACGCAUGCUACAAUGGCUGGUACAGAGAGUGGCGAGCCUGUGAGGGUGAGCGAAUCUCGGAAAGCCGGUCUCAGUUCGGAUUGGGGUCUGCAACUCGACCUCAUGAAGUCGGAGUCGCUAGUAAUCGCAGAUCAGCAACGCUGCGGUGAAUACGUUCCCGGG